This 161-nucleotide transfer RNA is filed under the name Centricnemus leucogrammus. RNAcentral describes it as "tRNA-Leu". Lineage: Eukaryota; Metazoa; Arthropoda; Insecta; Coleoptera; Curculionidae. The record is from RNAcentral.
GUGUAAGCCAGGUUGGUUUCUAUCUUUAAUUUUAUAUAAUAUUCUAGUACGAAAGGACCGAGUAUUAAAUUUAUAAUUUUUUUAUAGGAAUAUAAGUAAUAUUAUUUUGGCAGAGUAGUGCGUUAGAUUUAGAAUCUUUUUAUGUAAAUUAAUUUACAAAU